GAUGAAGAACGUAGCGAAAUGCGAUACGUAAUGUGAAUUGCAGACACCGUGAAUCAUCGAAUCUUUGAACGCACAUUGCGCCCCUUGGUAUUCCGAGGGGCAUGCCUGUUCGAGCGUCAUUAUAACCCCUCAAGCUCAGCUUGGUGUUGGGGCCUGCUGCACUGGCAGCCCUUAAAAUCAGUGGCGGCGCCAUCUGGCUCUAAGCGUAGUAAUUCUUCUCGCUAUGGAGUCCUGGUGGAUGCUUGCCAUCAACCCCCAAUUUUUCUAUGGUUGACCUCGGAUCAGGUAGGGAUACCCGCUGAACUUAAGCAUAUCAAUAAGCGGAGGA
RNAcentral lists this unclassified non-coding RNA (328 nucleotides) under soil metagenome. RNAcentral describes it as "partial contains 5.8S ribosomal RNA, internal transcribed spacer 2, and large subunit ribosomal RNA". The stretch from base 1 to 119 matches the Rfam family "5.8S ribosomal RNA", at positions 35 to 154 of the family's 154-position model. The record is from RNAcentral.